Molecule: ribosomal RNA, 420 nt
Filed under: bacterium
Lineage: Bacteria
Description: partial 16S ribosomal RNA
Rfam family: Bacterial small subunit ribosomal RNA
Source: RNAcentral
UGGGGGAUAUUGCACAAUGGGCGAAAGCCUGAUGCAGCGACGCCGCGUGGGGGAUGAAGGCUUUCGGGUUGUAAACCUCUUUCGCUAUCGAACAAGGCCCGCUUAGGGUGGGUUGAGGGUAGGUGGAGAAGAAGCGCCGGCUAACUACGUGCCAGCAGCCGCGGUAAUACGUAGGGCGCGAGCGUUGUCCGGAAUUAUUGGGCGUAAAGGGCUUGUAGGCGGCUUGUUGCGCCUGCUGUGAAAACGCGGGGGUUAACUUCGCGCGUGGAGUGGGUACGGGCAGGCUUGAGGGUGGUAGGGGUGACUGGAAUUCCAGGUGUAGCGGUGGAAUGCGCAGAUAUCUGGAGGAACACCGAUGGCGAAGGCAGGUCACUGGGCCAUUACUGACGCUGAGGAGCGAAAGCAUGGGUAGCGAACAGG